GACGAACGCUGGCGGCGUGCUUAACACAUGCAAGUCGAACGGAAAGGCCCUGCUUGCAGGGUACUCGAGUGGCGAACGGGUGAGUAACACGUGGGUGAUCUGCCCUGCACUUCGGGAUAAGCCUGGGAAACUGGGUCUAAUACCGGAUAGGAGCCAUUUUUAGUGUGAUGGUUGGAAAUUUUUUUCGUUGUAGGAUGAGCUCGCGGCUUAUCAGCUUGUUGGUGGGGUAAUGGCCUACCAAGGCGGCGACGGGUAGCCGGCCUGAGAGGGUGGACGGCCACAUUGGGACUGAGAUACGGCCCAGACUCCUACGGGAGGCAGCAGUGGGGAAUAUUGCACAAUGGGCGCAAGCCUGAUGCAGCGACGCCGCGUGGGGGAUGACGGCCUUCGGGUUGUAAACUCCUUUCGCUAGGGACGAAGCUUUUUGUGACGGUACCUAGAUAAGAAGCACCGGCUAACUACGUG
RNAcentral lists this ribosomal RNA (465 nucleotides) under uncultured bacterium. RNAcentral describes it as "partial 16S ribosomal RNA". It matches the Rfam family "Bacterial small subunit ribosomal RNA", at positions 28 to 507 of the family's 1533-position model. The record is from RNAcentral.